This 933-nucleotide unclassified non-coding RNA is filed under the name Helicoverpa zea (corn earworm). RNAcentral's name for it is "uncharacterized LOC124639669, transcript variant X1". Lineage: Eukaryota; Metazoa; Arthropoda; Insecta; Lepidoptera; Noctuidae. The record is from RNAcentral.
AUGAUUGUAUAUUGGAUAUAAUUGAAGAAAUCUUUCUUAUCAGUCAGUCGGUCAGCCGUGGUUUUUCAGUCAAAAUGUUGCGUGCCGUGAUUUUGUUUUGUGUCGUCCUAGCUGUUAGAGGACAGACUACUGAUGUUUCUCAGUGCACAGCAAACCCUGGUCCUUUGCCCAUCAACGCGUACAUCGCCGGCUGUGGCGCCCCCCCUUGCAACCUGCCGCAGCUGCAGGAUGCUGUCAUCAAUAUCAUCUUCAGAGCACCCAACACCAUAAGGACAAUGAGGACUUUAGCCGUGGCGUACAUUCCCUCACCUUUGGGUAACAUUCCCUUCCCCUACGGGCUUGGAGACAACGCGGAGACUUGCAAUUUCCUUACCAACACCUACUGCCCCGUGGUGCAAGGAGAGGUCAUACAGUACACGCUCAGAAUGUACAUCGAGUCCUUCUUCCCUGUGGACACACAAGUUUCCAUCGAGUUCAGGAUCGUGGAUGAGGCCAAUUCUCCUGUAAUGUGCAUCAGAGUGCCAAUCCGUAUUACUGCGCCUGAGACCUUCGGAGCCAGGAACUCGACUCUCAUCGGAGAGGCCUAAAGAGGAACUGCGAAACUAUCGUAACUACAACUUCUUAUUUCAAAGAUCAAUCAACUAAAUAAAUUAUAAAGGUACUCUUAGGUCCUUCCUGUCUUCAAGAAUUUUGUGCCGAUAACUAUAACUUUGCCACUCUGAAGCCAGCCAUUUAACGCCUCGUGCAUGCGUAGUUUGCUCGUUACAUUUUCAAUGUUGUGAAGCUAACUUCGGAGCGGUUAUUUGACGAGUUCUGCACAUUUUAUAUUUUACUAAGCAAUUCAAUGAAUGGUAGAUGUUUUAGUUACAGUAAGAAAACCGUAACGAAAUGUGAUAUGUAUUUAUAAUUUUUAAAUAAACGUUUUUGUCGAUA